Molecule: ribosomal RNA, 274 nt
Filed under: uncultured bacterium
Lineage: Bacteria
Description: partial 16S ribosomal RNA
Rfam family: Bacterial small subunit ribosomal RNA
Source: RNAcentral
AUACGGAGGGUGCGAGCGUUAAUCGGAAUUACUGGGCGUAAAGCGCGCGUAGGUGGCUAUGUCAGUCGGAUGUGAAAGCCCUGGGCUUAACCUGGGAAUUGCAUUCGAUACUGCAUGGCUAGAGUAUAGUAGAGGGUAGUGGAAUUUCCGGUGUAGCGGUGAAAUGCGUAGAUAUCGGAAGGAACACCAGUGGCGAAGGCGACUUCCUGGGCCAAUACUGACGCUGAGGUGCGAAAGCGUGGGGAGCAAACAGGAUUAGAAACCCCUGUAGUCC